RNAcentral lists this transfer RNA (365 nucleotides) under uncultured Microcystis sp. Its description in RNAcentral is "partial 16S-23S ribosomal RNA intergenic spacer". The stretch from base 136 to 209 matches the Rfam family "tRNA". Lineage: Bacteria; Bacillati; Cyanobacteriota; Cyanophyceae; Chroococcales; Microcystaceae. The record is from RNAcentral.
AAAGGGAGACCUAAUUCAGGUAGGAGACGAAAAAAAAGUAGUCCCUACCAAGAAUCAAUCCCAAAAGGUCGGAGCGAGGCAAAAUUGGCUUUCAAACUAGGUUCUGGGUUCACACAAGACCUGAAUCAGGAACAAGGGCUAUUAGCUCAGGUGGUUAGAGCGCACCCCUGAUAAGGGUGAGGUCCCUGGUUCGAGUCCAGGAUGGCCCACCUGUACAGGUGGCAAAAAGAAAGAAAAGAAGCGAGGAAUCAGCACCUGAUCUUACUUAUAUAGUAAGAGAGAAUGCUGGCUCUGAGUUCAGAGUCCAGAGGAACCUUGAAAACUGCAUAGAGCUAGGUGAAAAAGCCAAAAAAGAAGACCGCAAG